Onthophagus taurus is the source of this 1718-nucleotide long non-coding RNA. RefSeq lists it as uncharacterized. Lineage: Eukaryota; Metazoa; Arthropoda; Insecta; Coleoptera; Scarabaeidae. The record is from RefSeq and is a predicted model, not a curated record.
ACUGCAUAUUUUUCUUGUUUACAUCCAUGCUAACUGCGCUAUUGACGACACAAUUUUUAUUAAAGCGUCACUAUACCCGAAUACUAUCAUUAUUGGUGAUUUCAACCAUAACAUUUUAAAACGCAACCAUAUUAACAACUUUCUGUCUCAAUCAGGAUUCCAAAGAAUUCAUACGUCGCCCACAUUUAUUAUGGAACGUAAUUGUACGACUCCAGAUUUAUUUCUAUGCUCACCUAAGAUGUUCCCUCUCAUAUAUGAUGUUGAAACGAGUUGUGACCUUGGUUCCGACCACCUAGGGAUUGAUUUGGGAAUAUAUUCCCAAUCGAACGUUUCAGUUAACCCCACCAUCAAAUAUAAUUUCAACGCUUGCGACAUGAAAGAAGUAAUAUUUCCGAUACCAUUCAUACCACGGACGAAGACAUAGCCCUGAUACAGGAGGCGGAGCACUGGUAUGAUGACUAUCGUCAAAGUUCAUUUGAAACUACCGAAGAUAUACGUAUAAGCGAAGAAGAAUAAUGGCAAGUGAUAGCAUAAAGUAAAAUCUCGGCACCGGGAUAUGACAACAUUUCUAAAAAAAUGAUUAUACAGUUAGAUGAAAAGGUGCACGAUUACAUUAUUGAUAUAAAGAGAACAAAAUUUUUCUUUGCUAUAUUUCGAAACUAAUUGUUUCUUCUACAGGCAAAAACUGUGAACAAAUGUAUCAAAAUUAACACUUAAACUAUCAAUGGCUUACAUAAAAAGGAAGAAACUUACAGGUUAGUUGAUAAACGGCACAAUUGCAGAACAUUUCAAUGGUCCACCAAGAAACAUAGCAUCAUUAAAACCCACAAAAGGGUGAUUCAAAUUAAUAAAUUAAAAUUAGGACACUUAAAAUACAAACUAAAAUAACUGACGUUACAAAAGUAAAAAUCUUAUGAUGACUGAACAUGGCGAAGAAACCAGUUUUUAAAAAUAUUUUUAUUUUUAUUUUUAGAGACUGCGCGAUAGACAAAAUCACAACAAUACUGUCGAAAAACAUAUUUUAUAUAUAUGUAUAUCUUUCUUUUUAUAUUUUUAUUUAAAAAAUUAAUGAAUUACUAACGUUGGUGUUGUCCCUCAAUACUCUUUCCCUUCUCCCCUUUUCCCAAUGAAAUAAAUACGAGUAAAAAAUACUUAAAUUAUUUGUAUCUCUUUUAAAAUUGACCGUAUUAUCAGUGAUAUUAAUGUGGUACAUUUCCAAAAAUAAUCUACCGUAAUAAUUAGGAUCACCAUUAACUAUCGACACAUUAUCAAAAUCAAAAGUAUGGUUAAAGUUUAUUCUAUGACUGGCCAAAGCACAGUGAGUUUUUUUCGUUUUAAAAUCACUCCUAUGUGAACUAAUCCUGUUUUUUAGCCAUUGACGGGUGACACCAAUGUAACAACCAUUACACUCAUUAUAAUUGACACGAUAGAUGAUAUUAGAUUUGUACAUCACGGGAUCUUUAUCUUUGAUGCUACUAUAACAAGAACCUAUCCACUAUUUUUCUAUCAGGUGGUAGAUGCGGUCCAAUUAUUUUUUUAAUUUUAUCAGACAUCUUUGGGAUUUUCAUAAUUUUACUAAAUUUAGAUUGUCUGGUAGGUGGUAUAUCAAAAAUACUGUUAACAGUUGGUUGAGAGAUGUUAUUGGAAGAAGAGAAAAGAAUCUUGUUAACUAAGUGCUUAGGAAAACUGUUGCCAAUAAAAAUCCUUUUUAGCUUUAA